CAGGCUGCAACCCGCCUGCGUGAAGUCGGAAUCGCUAGUAAUCGCGGAUCAGCAUGCCGCGGUGAAUACGUUCCCGGGCCUUGUACACACCGCCCGUCACACCAUGAGAGUCGGAACACCCGAAGCCCGUAGCCUAACUUGCAAGAGAGGGCGCGGUCGAAGGUGGGUUCGAUAAUUGGGGUGAAGUCGUAACAAGGUAUC
RNAcentral lists this ribosomal RNA (201 nucleotides) under uncultured bacterium. RNAcentral describes it as "partial 16S ribosomal RNA". It matches the Rfam family "Bacterial small subunit ribosomal RNA", at positions 1301 to 1500 of the family's 1533-position model. The record is from RNAcentral.